RNAcentral lists this ribosomal RNA (746 nucleotides) under uncultured bacterium. Its description in RNAcentral is "bacterial SSU rRNA". It matches the Rfam family "Bacterial small subunit ribosomal RNA", at positions 188 to 928 of the family's 1533-position model. The record is from RNAcentral.
GGAGCCCUCUUCUUGAAAGGUUUCGCUAUAGGAUGAGCCCGCGUGAGAUUAGCUAGUUGGUAAGGUAAUGGCUUACCAAGGCGACGAUCUCUAGCUGGUUUGAGAGGAUGAUCAGCCACACUGGGACUGAGACACGGCCCAGACUCCUACGGGAGGCAGCAGUGGGGAAUAUUGCACAAUGAGCGAAAGCUUGAUGCAGCCAUACCGCGUGUGUGAAGAAGGCCCGAGGGUUGUAAAGCACUUUCAAUUGUGAGGAAGAUAGUAUAGUUAAUACCUGUAUUAUUUGACGUUAACUUUAGAAGAAGCACCGGCUAACUCUGUGCCAGCAGCCGCGGUAAUACAGAGGGUGCAAGCGUUAUUCGGAAUUACUGGGCGUAAAGCGCGCGUAGGCGGGCUAUUAAGUCAGUUGUGAAAGCCCUGGGCUCAACCUGGGAACUGCAUCUGAUACUGGUAGUCUAGAGUUUAAGAGAGGGAAGUGGAAUUCCAGGUGUAGCAGUGAAAUGCGUAGAUAUCUGGAGGAACAUCAGUGGCGAAGGCGACUUCCUGGCUUAAAACUGACGCUGAGGUGCGAAAGCGUGGGUAGCGAACGGGAUUAGAUACCCCGGUAGUCCACGCCGUAAACGAUGUCAACUAGUUGUUGGUCUUAUUAAAAAGAUUAGUAACGAAGCUAACGCGAUAAGUUGACCGCCUGGGGAGUACGGUCGCAAGAUUAAAACUCAAAGGAAUUGACGGGGGGGCCCGCACAA